AUUGCACAAUGGGCGCAAGCCUGAUGCAGCGACGCCGCGUGGGGGAUGACGGCCUUCGGGUUGUAAACCUCUUUCACCAUCGACGAAGGUCCGGGUUCUCUCGGAUUACGGUAGGUGGAGAAGAAGCACCGGCCAACUACGUGCCAGCAGCCGCGGUAAUACGUAGGGUGCGAGCGUUGUCCGGAAUUACUGGGCGUAAAGAGCUCGUAGGUGGUUUGUCCCGUUGUUCGUGAAAUAUCACGCCUUAACUGUGAGCGUGCGGGCGAUACGGGCAGACUAGAGUACUGCAGGGGAGAUUGGAAUUCCUGGCGUAGCGGUGGAAUGCGCAGAUAUCAUGAGGAACCCUGGUGGCGAAGGCGGGUCUCUGGGCAGUACCUGACGCUGAGGAGCGAAAGCGUGGGGAGCGAACAGGAUUAGAUACCCCGGUAGUCCACGCCGUAAACGGUGGGUAGGUAGGUGUGGGUUUC
RNAcentral lists this ribosomal RNA (467 nucleotides) under Mycobacterium tuberculosis. RNAcentral's name for it is "bacterial SSU rRNA". It matches the Rfam family "Bacterial small subunit ribosomal RNA", at positions 363 to 830 of the family's 1533-position model. Lineage: Bacteria; Bacillati; Actinomycetota; Actinomycetes; Mycobacteriales; Mycobacteriaceae. The record is from RNAcentral.